RNAcentral lists this long non-coding RNA (1252 nucleotides) under Androctonus crassicauda. The record is from RNAcentral. Lineage: Eukaryota; Metazoa; Arthropoda; Arachnida; Scorpiones; Buthidae.
UUACAAGUUGGCUUGAAGUUUUUACCUAUAUUAUGUAGAUGAUGAUAUUACUAUCUGGAAUAAAGAUUUUGAUCCAAAACUCGUAGAAGAGCAAUUAAGGCAUAUGACCUCACAUUAAAGCAGCAGCAAUUGAGCCAAAGCGAAGUACAUUUUCUAGACCACUUGUAGUAAUCAAAGCCUUAUUAUAAGUGAGAAAUAAGGCUUUGAUUACUACAGUUCUCUUAUACUUUACUCCCUCACAGUUACUCCCUUUACAGUUCACCUUUUACCCCUUCACCUUUACAGUUACUCCCUCUUAUGAGCCUGUGAUUAUUUCAAGUUGGUCCCUAGACCUGUUUGCCCUUAAAAAAUUGCAUUUUAUUUUUAUUUUAAAAGGGCUACCAUCUAUACAACAGAAUGCCAUGAUUUAGAAACAGAGCUGGAGUACAUCUACAGCAUUGGGGCCUUACAUGGUUACACUAGAGGGUUUUUAAAUCUAUCUACAGUAAGGUCAAGAAAGAUGUUAAUACGCCAGUAGUUAAGCUGCCGAACAAUACUGAAUAUGAGUUGAUACCGUUCGCUAUGAGCAAGUACAGAACUGUCAAAGAGUUAGCUAGGAAAGGUACUAAGAAGAUUACCUUUAAAAGAUACCACACUCUUUACGAACACCUAAGGAAUGAUAAAGAUAGAAGAAAAGAGGGACAAAAAGCAGGGAUGUACAAGAUUCCCACUGUAAUUAACACAAAGAAUAAAGAGGAGGCAUAUAUCAGUGUUAUGUCUAGGCUAUUGGAGGUAAGUUGCAGGAGCACAAGAAAGACUUGGCUAAAGGUAAAUUGUGCACAGCUUUAGUGAGAAGUGCUUUUGAGAAUGACAUUAUAGUGAAAUGGCCUGAAGCGCAAGUCAUACAAACUAUUACAAAAGAAAAACAUGCCACCACAGCUGAAGCUAUUGAAAUCUAUACAAGAGCAGAGCGUGAUUGUCUUCUAAAUGACCAUCCUGUGCAGGAAUUGCCGCCAGCAUGGAAGUACCUUCUUAGCAAAGUCGCUUCCUGCUAAAGAGUGCCCAAGAACUUUAUGAACUCUUAUUGUCGCCAUUUAUGGUGCCUUUAAUAUUUAGUGUUUCUGUGUUUAUUUCUGACUUUAUUUAUGAUUUUAAUUCUUAAUAUUAUAUUUUAUUUGCCUUUUUAUUGAUAAUAUUUACCCUCAUUUACAUAUUAUGUUCAUUUGUUUCUAUAGUUACACUUUUACGUUUGUUCUAAAGAUGUUUACGUUCU